This 521-nucleotide ribosomal RNA is filed under the name Pseudomonas aeruginosa. RNAcentral's name for it is "bacterial SSU rRNA". It matches the Rfam family "Bacterial small subunit ribosomal RNA", at positions 65 to 579 of the family's 1533-position model. Lineage: Bacteria; Pseudomonadati; Pseudomonadota; Gammaproteobacteria; Pseudomonadales; Pseudomonadaceae. The record is from RNAcentral.
GGCCAAUGGAAUUAGGCUUUGCUCCGGGAUUCAGCGGCGGACGGGUGAGAAAUGGGGGAGGAAUCUGCCUGGUAGAGGGGGAUAACGUCCGGUUACGGGCGCUAAUACCGCAUACCUCCUGAGGGAGAAAGUGGGGGAUCUUCGGACCUCCCGGUAUCAGAUGAGCCUAGGUCGGAUUACCUAGUUGGUGGGGUGAUGGCCUACCAAGGCGACGAUCCGUAACUGGUCUGAGAGGAUGAUCAUUCACACUGGAACUGAGACACGGUCCAGACUCCUACGGGAGGCAGCAGGGGGGAAUAUUGGACAAUGGGCGAAAGCCUGAUCCAGCCAUGCCGCGUGUGUGAAGAAGGUCUUCGGAUUGUAAAGCACUUUUAAGUUGGGAGGAAGGGCAAUAAGUUAAUACCUUGCUGUUUUGACGUUACCAACAGAAUAAGCACCGGCUAACUUCGUGCCACAACCGCGGUAAUACCAAGGGUGCAGCGUUAAUCCGAAUUACAGGGCGAAAGGCGCGUGUAGGUGGU